RNAcentral lists this unclassified non-coding RNA (273 nucleotides) under Hevea brasiliensis (rubber tree). Lineage: Eukaryota; Viridiplantae; Streptophyta; Magnoliopsida; Malpighiales; Euphorbiaceae. The record is from RNAcentral.
CACUAAUCUUGCUCUAAAUGACCGCCAGUCAGCCUCAAGGUAAGGCUGGCUUUCAUCACCAGCCGAUGACGACGAUGAUGAUAAAUGACAACAUGUUACAGAAGAUGAAAGACCAAGUUUUUUGGAAAGAAAAUGAGCAGGACUUCUCUUGGGGUAGGAGAAUACUCUAGCUUGGAUAGAGGGGACAAGCUCAAUGGUUUUGGUAAAUGAGUUACAGGAUAGAAAGCAAGUUUCCAUGCUUUCUCUUUUUUCUUUUUUUUUUUUUGCCCUUUC